Molecule: ribosomal RNA, 441 nt
Filed under: Trypanosoma evansi
Lineage: Eukaryota; Euglenozoa; Kinetoplastea; Trypanosomatida; Trypanosomatidae
Description: partial small subunit ribosomal RNA
Source: RNAcentral
UUUCGGAAUUUUUCUGAGAUAUAGGGAAAAGAGGAGACACAAAUGUUGACACGGUGUGGGUGGAGGUGAACACAGAGAGAACAUAUUYUGUGAUKCUCUACACAUAAAAGAGAUCAUUUAAUAGAUAUAGUAAGAURCGCAUUCCAUACGUAUAAUAAUAGAUAUAURURUUUCAUAUUARUGAGAGCAUACAUUAAAAAGACUGGGGAGGCGGGGGAUSUUACACACAUACAUGAUAGUAAAUAACAGAUMUGUGUWUAGGAGUCUUCGUCUAAAUUGUCAAACGGCAUAUAGUAACMCAUACAUGUAAAACAUAUAACAAAGAGAAGGUGGCAGACUGGCAUCUCUACAUAUACAUUAAUUAUAUAUUGUGUGUGUAAAUCAUCUUAGCAAUGAUCCACCUGCGGCCACGGCUACCGCAACCUGUUACGAUGUUUUUUA